Molecule: small RNA, 105 nt
Filed under: Marmota monax (woodchuck)
Lineage: Eukaryota; Metazoa; Chordata; Mammalia; Rodentia; Sciuridae
Source: RNAcentral
GCUGGGUGUAGUGGUGCCCGCCUGUAAUCCCAGUGGCUUGGGAGGCUGAGGCAGGAGGAUCCUGAGUUCAAAGCCAGCCUUAGCAAAAGCGAGGCCCUGUCUCUA